RNAcentral lists this ribosomal RNA (509 nucleotides) under uncultured bacterium. RNAcentral's name for it is "bacterial SSU rRNA". It matches the Rfam family "Bacterial small subunit ribosomal RNA", at positions 17 to 518 of the family's 1533-position model. The record is from RNAcentral.
UUCUGGCUCAGGAUGAACGCUAGCUACAGGCUUAACACAUGCAAGUCAGGGGCAGCAUUGGAGUAGCAAUACUCAGAUGGCGACCGGCGCACGGGUGAGUAACACGUAUCCAACCUGCCGCUUACUCGGGGAUAGCCUUUCGAAAGAAAGAUUAAUACCCGAUGGUAUAAAGAGUUCGCAUGUUCUCUUUAUUAAAGAAUUUCGGUAAGCGAUGGGGAUGCGUUCCAUUAGAUAGUUGGCGGGUAACGGCCCACCAAGUCUACGAUGGAUAGGGGAACUGAGAGGUUGGUCCCCCACACUGGUACUGAGACACGGACCAGACUCCUACGGGAGGCAGCAGUGAGGAAUAUUGGUCAAUGGGCGGGAGCCUGAACCAGCCAAGUCGCGUGAAAAGGGAAGAAGGAUCUAUGGUUCGUAAACUUCUUUUGCAGGGGAAUAAAGUGCAGGACGUGUCCUGUUUUGUAUGUACCCUGAGAAUAAGGAUCGGCUAACUCCGUGCCAGCCGCAGC